This 320-nucleotide long non-coding RNA is filed under the name Gallus gallus (chicken). Lineage: Eukaryota; Metazoa; Chordata; Aves; Galliformes; Phasianidae. The record is from RNAcentral.
UGGGGCUCUAUGGGGCUCUUUGGGAUACAUAUGGGGCUCUAUGGGGUCUCUAUGGGGGUCUAUGGGUCUCUAUGGGCUCUGUGGGGUACCUAUGGGACUCUAUGGGGCUCUAUGGGGGACCUAUGUGGCUCUAUGUGUACCUAUGGGACUCUAUUGGGUCUCUACGGGGUCUCUACGGGGCUCUAUGGGGCUCUACGGGGUCUCUAUGACGGUGUAUGGGGCUCUAUUGGGGCUCUAUGGGGCUCUGUGGGGUACCUAUGGGACUCUGCGGGGUACACCCUGCAUGUGGGGCACUUCGUGGACGGCGGCGCCGGUGGGGG